GAUGAACGCUGGCGGCGUGCCUAAUACAUGCAAGUCGAGCGAACAGACGAGGAGCUUGCUCCUCUGACGUUAGCGGCGGACGGGUGAGUAACACGUGGAUAACCUACCUAUAAGACUGGGAUAACUUCGGGAAACCGGAGCUAAUACCGGAUAAUAUAUUGAACCGCAUGGUUCAAUAGUGAAAGACGGUUUUGCUGUCACUUAUAGAUGGAUCCGCGCCGCAUUAGCUAGUUGGUAAGGUAACGGCUUACCAAGGCAACGAUGCGUAGCCGACCUGAGAGGGUGAUCGGACACACUGGAACUGAGACACGGUCCAGACUCCUACGGGAGGCAGCAGUAGGGAAUCUUCCGCAAUGGGCGAGAGCGUGACGGAGCAACGCCGCGUGAGUGAUGAAGGUCUUCGGAUCGUAAAACGCUGUUAGUAGGGAAGAACAAAUGUGUAAGUAACUAUGCACGUCUUGACGGUACCUAAACAGAAAGCCACGGCUAACUACGUG
RNAcentral lists this ribosomal RNA (497 nucleotides) under uncultured bacterium. RNAcentral describes it as "partial 16S ribosomal RNA". It matches the Rfam family "Bacterial small subunit ribosomal RNA", at positions 28 to 507 of the family's 1533-position model. The record is from RNAcentral.